This 492-nucleotide ribosomal RNA is filed under the name uncultured bacterium. RNAcentral's name for it is "partial 16S ribosomal RNA". It matches the Rfam family "Bacterial small subunit ribosomal RNA", at positions 29 to 507 of the family's 1533-position model. The record is from RNAcentral.
AGUGAACGCUGGCGGUAGGCCUAACACAUGCAAGUCGAACGGCAGCACAGUAAGAGCUUGCUCUUACGGUUGGCGAGUGGCGGACGGGUGAGGAAUACAUCGGAAUCUUCUUUUUCUGGGGUGAUAACGUAGGGAAACUUACGCUAAUACCGCAUACGACCUACGGGUUAGAGCAGGGGAUCUUCGGACCUUGCGCGAUUGAAUGAGCCGAUGUCGGAUUAGCUAGUUGGCGGGGUAAAGGCCCACCAAGGCGACGAUCCGUAGCUGGUCUGAGAGGAUGAUCAGCCACACUGGAACUGAGACACGGUCCAGACUCCUACGGGAGGCAGCAGUGGGGAAUAUUGGACAAUGGGCGAAAGCCUGAUCCAGCCAUGCCGCGUGGGUGAAGAAGGCCUUCGGGUUGUAAAGCCCUUUUGUUGGGAAAGAAAAGCAGUAGGUUAAUACCCCGCUGUUUUGACGGUACCCAAAGAAUAAGCACCGGCUAACUUCGUG